Molecule: ribosomal RNA, 249 nt
Filed under: uncultured Mesorhizobium sp.
Lineage: Bacteria; Pseudomonadati; Pseudomonadota; Alphaproteobacteria; Hyphomicrobiales; Phyllobacteriaceae
Description: partial 16S ribosomal RNA
Rfam family: Bacterial small subunit ribosomal RNA
Source: RNAcentral
UACGAGCGGCAGACGGGUGAGUAACGCGUGGGAAUCUACCCAUCUCUACGGAACAACUCCGGGAAACUGGAGCUAAUACCGUAUACGUCCUUUUGGAGAAAGAUUUAUCGGAGAUGGAUGAGCCCGCGUUGGAUUAGCUAGUUGGUGUGGUAAUGGCCUACCAAGGCGACGAUCCAUAGCUGGUCUGAGAGGAUGAUCAGCCACACUGGGACUGAGACACGGCCCAGACUCCUACGGGAGGCAGCAGCA